Molecule: long non-coding RNA, 748 nt
Filed under: Manihot esculenta (cassava)
Lineage: Eukaryota; Viridiplantae; Streptophyta; Magnoliopsida; Malpighiales; Euphorbiaceae
Description: long non-coding RNA (MESC_LNC000747)
Source: RNAcentral
AGAGAGAGCGAGCUAUGGAGGGCAAGGAAGAAGAUGUUAGACUUGGAGCAAACAAGUUCACAGAGAGACAACCCAUAGGUACAUCAGCUCAGACUGAUAAGGACUACAAGGAGCCACCACCAGCUCCCCUGUUUGAGCCUGGUGAGCUCUCCUCGUGGUCCUUCUACAGGGCUGGGAUUGCCGAGUUCAUCGCUACUUUCUUGUUUCUCUACAUCACUGUCUUGACUGUCAUGGGUGUCUCUAAGUCCAAUAACAAGUGCGCCACUGUGGGUAUCCAAGGUAUUGCUUGGGCCUUUGGUGGUAUGAUCUUUGCCCUUGUUUACUGCACUGCUGGUAUCUCAGGUAACUCAAUGCUUCCUUCACUUCUUUUGUCCUUGGCUUUAGCUUCUACUCCGUUUUUUUUUUCUUUUCUCUCUCAGGAUUUGCAUCUUUAUGUGAAAAUUAGCCAUCUUUUUUAUUCUACUUGUUUUCUUACAAGUUUAGUUUUAAUGCUUCUUUCUAAAACCAUACACUACUUUAUAUACUAUGGUGAGGAGCCUUACUAACCAGAUCUACAUGUUUGCUGCAACAACAGGUGGACACAUCAACCCAGCAGUGACCUUUGGUCUGUUUCUGGCUAGGAAGCUCUCCUUGACAAGGGCACUGUUCUACAUCAUCAUGCAGUGCCUUGGUGCCAUCUGUGGUGCUGGGGUGGUAAAAGGUUUUGAGGGAAAGCGUGUAUACCAGACUUUGGGUGGUGGAGCCAACG